ACCCGGAUGGCGAAAUCGGUAGACGCAAGGGACUUAAAAUCCCUCGGGGGUAACCCCGUGCCGGUUCGACCCCGGCUCCGGGCACCA
RNAcentral lists this transfer RNA (87 nucleotides) under Pseudomonas aeruginosa. RNAcentral describes it as "tRNA-Leu". It matches the Rfam family "tRNA". From Rfam's summary of the family: Transfer RNA (tRNA) molecules are approximately 80 nucleotides in length. Their secondary structure includes four short double-helical elements and three loops (D, anti-codon, and T loops). The record is from RNAcentral. Lineage: Bacteria; Pseudomonadati; Pseudomonadota; Gammaproteobacteria; Pseudomonadales; Pseudomonadaceae.